UAUCACAGCCAUUUUGAUGACCU
Molecule: microRNA, 23 nt
Filed under: Polistes canadensis
Lineage: Eukaryota; Metazoa; Arthropoda; Insecta; Hymenoptera; Vespidae
Description: pca-miR-13a-3p
Gene: pca-miR-13a-3p
Source: miRBase by way of RNAcentral